UGAGGAAUAUUGGUCAAUGGGCGAGAGCCUGAACCAGCCAAGUAGCGUGCAGGAUGACGGCCCUAUGGGUUGUAAACUGCUUUUGUAUGGGGAUAAAGUCAAUCACGUGUGAUUGUUUGCAGGUACCAUACGAAUAAGGACCGGCUAGUUCCGUGCCAGCAGCCGCGGUAAUACGGAAGGUCCGGGCGUUAUCCGGAUUUAUUGGGUUUAAAGGGAGCGUAGGCCGGAGAUUAAGUGUGUUGUGAAAUGUAGACGCUCAACGUCUGACUUGCAGCGCAUACUGGUUUCCUUGAGUACGCACAACGUUGGCGGAAUUCGUCGUGUAAGCGGUGAAAUGCUUAGAUAUGACGAAGAACUCCGAUUGCGAAGGCAGCUGACGGGAGCGCAACUGACGCUUAAGCUCGAAGGUGCGGGUAUCGAACAGGAUUAGAUACCCUGGUAGUCCGCACAGUAAACGAUGGAUGCCCGCUGUUGGUACCUGGUAUCAGCGGCUAAGCGAAAGCAUUAAGCAUCCCACCUGGGGAGUACGCCGGCAACGGUG
Molecule: ribosomal RNA, 541 nt
Filed under: uncultured bacterium
Lineage: Bacteria
Description: bacterial SSU rRNA
Rfam family: Bacterial small subunit ribosomal RNA
Source: RNAcentral